UACGUAGGGGGCAAGCGUUAUCCGGAAUUACUGGGUGUAAAGGGUGAGUAGGCGGCGUGGUAAGCCAGAUGUGAAAGCCUUGGGCUUAACCCGAGGAUUGCAUUUGGAACUAUCAAGCUAGAGUACAGGAGAGGAAAGCGGAAUUCCUAGUGUAGCGGUGAAAUGCGUAGAUAUUAGGAAGAACACCAGUGGCGAAGGCGGCUUUCUGGACUGAAACUGACGCUGAGGCACGAAAGCGUGGGGAGCGAACAGG
Molecule: ribosomal RNA, 253 nt
Filed under: uncultured bacterium
Lineage: Bacteria
Description: partial 16S ribosomal RNA
Rfam family: Bacterial small subunit ribosomal RNA
Source: RNAcentral